CUUAAGAUGCUUACAAAAGAGGAACAAGGAUAUUAAAAGUCUUGAAUUCAGUUCAUCUGGUUAAUACUGUAGAGAUUAAUUAUAAAAGAAAAUUUUGUCAAUGUCCUCCAACCAGAGACCACCAGGAACACUUCUGCAAUGUGACAAAUUGGGUUUAUUACUCAUUGCAGUGAGGGAAAAUGCACAACACUGAAACCAUGGGGCAUGUGAGUAAGAGUGUUAGAAAAGACUUUAGGAUUUGGCUUUUGUCAGGUAGUUUUAGGGAGGGAUUAAGGAGGCAGGGCCUUGCUCUGAAUUGGAUGCUGUUGAGAAGCUGGGGUAAUUCUAUGACAGGGUAUCUUAAGUCUUAAAUAGAAUGAGAGAAGACUAGAAUGAUACUAAAGCUAUGAAGAAGCAACGGUUUACUUACAUUAGCCAAGAUGGAAAGAUGUUUGACCAUUUUUGUAGUUUGGGCAAUGUUUAUGUUUUUGUCUACGUUUAGUUAUGAUUACAGAGUGGUCUUAUCUGAUGCUGAAGUGUAAAACUCUUCAUACUCAACAACAGAAGAACAUUAGAACCUAGCUGUGAGUGCCAGGUCAGCACCCAGCAACGCUUAAGGCUUAACUGAUAAUAUCAGAUGAGCACAAAAAAGCUAGGGAGCUCCUGCAUAUCUUUCUCAAAAAAAAAAAUCAGACUUCCCAGUAGAACACUGUGGAUCUGCAGUUUUUUUGUUGUUUUAAUCAGCAGUGGAGUUGCACAAAUAUACUGUGCUGUUAAGCAUCUCUGCUUUUGCAUUUAGUAUUUAAUCUACCUAGACCAUCUAUUGAGUUAAUUAUUUUGCUGCUUUACCUGCUGUACUUUGUACAUCUAUUACAGUUACUGUACUGUUUUCCAGAUUGUAAGUUCCACAAAGCAAGGGGUUAGUGUCUUACCCUUUCUCACCCACAACACACGUAGCAUUUUGUGUUAAUAAAAUAUCCAGUAAAGUG
This is a long non-coding RNA of Lutra lutra (Eurasian river otter), 968 nucleotides long. RefSeq lists it as uncharacterized. Lineage: Eukaryota; Metazoa; Chordata; Mammalia; Carnivora; Mustelidae. The transcript is spliced from 2 exons. The record is from RefSeq and is a predicted model, not a curated record.